GACGAACCGUGCGAACGUUGUUCGGAAUCACUGGGCUUAAAGGGCGCGUAGGCGGGCUGCCAAGUCAGGGGUGAAAUCCUGCGGCUCAACCGUAGAAGUGCCUUUGAUACUGGUGGCCUUGAGGGAGGUAGGGGCGUGCGGAACUUCCGGUGGAGCGGUGAAAUGCGUAGAUAUCGGAAGGAACACCGGUGGCGAAAGCGAGUCUCUGGACGACUCCUGACACUGAGGCACGAAAGCUAGGGGAGCAAACAGG
This 253-nucleotide ribosomal RNA is filed under the name uncultured bacterium. RNAcentral's name for it is "partial 16S ribosomal RNA". It matches the Rfam family "Bacterial small subunit ribosomal RNA", at positions 524 to 776 of the family's 1533-position model. The record is from RNAcentral.